This 1271-nucleotide ribosomal RNA is filed under the name Flavobacterium sp. EP306. Its description in RNAcentral is "bacterial SSU rRNA". It matches the Rfam family "Bacterial small subunit ribosomal RNA", at positions 36 to 1317 of the family's 1533-position model. Lineage: Bacteria; Pseudomonadati; Bacteroidota; Flavobacteriia; Flavobacteriales; Flavobacteriaceae. The record is from RNAcentral.
CAAGCGGCCAGGCUUAACACAUGCARVKCGGGGGUAUAGUUCUUCGGAAUUAGAGACCGGCGCACGGGUGCGUAACGCGUAUGCAAUCUACCUUUUACAGAGGGAUAGCCCAGAGAAAUUUGGAUUAAUACCUCAUAGUAUAGUUCUACCGCAUGGUAGUACUAUUAAAGUCACAACGGUAAAAGAUGAGCAUGCGUCCCAUUAGCUAGUUGGUAAGGUAACGGCUUACCAAGGCUACGAUGGGUAGGGGUCCUGAGAGGGAGAUCCCCCACACUGGUACUGAGACACGGACCAGACUCCUACGGGAGGCAGCAGUGAGGAAUAUUGGACAAUGGGCGCAAGCCUGAUCCAGCCAUGCCGCGUGCAGGAUGACGGUCCUAUGGAUUGUAAACUGCUUUUAUACGAGAAGAAACACUCCAACGUGUUGGAGCUUGACGGUAUCGUAAGAAUAAGGAUCGGCUAACUCCGUGCCAGCAGCCGCGGUAAUACGGAGGAUCCAAGCGUUAUCCGGAAUCAUUGGGUUUAAAGGGUCCGUAGGCGGUUUAAUAAGUCAGUGGUGAAAGCCCAUCGCUCAACGGUGGAACGGCCAUUGAUACUGUUAAACUUGAAUUAUUAGGAAGUAACUAGAAUAUGUAGUGUAGCGGUGAAAUGCUUAGAGAUUACAUGGAAUACCAAUUGCGAAGGCAGGUUACUACUAAUGGAUUGACGCUGAUGGACGAAAGCGUGGGUAGCGAACAGGAUUAGAUACCCUGGUAGUCCACGCCGUAAACGAUGGAUACUAGCUGUUGGAAGCAAUUUCAGUGGCUAAGCGAAAGUGAUAASUAUCCCACCUGGGGAGUACGUUCGCAAGAAUGAAACUCAAAGGAAUUGACGGGGGCCCGCACAAGCGGUGGAGCAUGUGGUUUAAUUCGAUGAUACGCGAGGAACCUUACCAAGGCUUAAAUGUAGUUUGACCGAUUUGGAAACAGAUCUUUCGCAAGACAAAUUACAAGGUGCUGCAUGGUUGUCGUCAGCUCGUGCCGUGAGGUGUCAGGUUAAGUCCUAUAACGAGCGCAACCCCUGUUGUUAGUUGCCAGCGAGUCAUGUCGGGAACUCUAACAAGACUGCCAGUGCAAACUGUGAGGAAGGUGGGGAUGACGUCAAAUCAUCACGGCCCUUACGCCUUGGGCUACACACGUGCUACAAUGGCCGGUACAGAGAGCAGCCACUGGGCGACCAGGAGCGAAUCUAUAAAACCGGUCACAGUUCGGAUCGGAGUCUGCAACUCGACU